Podarcis lilfordi (Lilford's wall lizard) is the source of this 72-nucleotide non-coding RNA. The record is from the annotation of a GenBank genome assembly. Lineage: Eukaryota; Metazoa; Chordata; Lepidosauria; Squamata; Lacertidae.
AGAGUUGUAGUUCAGUGGUAGAGCAUCUGCUUUGCAUCUGGAAGGACUCUGGUUCAACCCCCAGCAUCUCUC